GUAGGGGGCAAGCGUUAUCCGGAAUUACUGGGUGUAAAGGGAGCGUAGACGGCAAUGCAAGUUCGGAGUGGAAUGCAUCAGCUCAACUGAUGAACUGCUCUGAAAACUGUAUAGCUAGAGUGCAGGAGGGGUAAGCGGAAUUCCUGGUGUAGCGGUGAAAUGCGUAGAUAUCAGGAGGAACACCGGUGGCGAAGGCGGCUUACUGGACUGUAACUGACGUUGAGGCUCGAAAGCGUGGGGAGCAAAC
This 247-nucleotide ribosomal RNA is filed under the name uncultured bacterium. RNAcentral's name for it is "partial 16S ribosomal RNA". It matches the Rfam family "Bacterial small subunit ribosomal RNA", at positions 527 to 773 of the family's 1533-position model. The record is from RNAcentral.